Molecule: long non-coding RNA, 1464 nt
Organism: Physeter macrocephalus (sperm whale)
Lineage: Eukaryota; Metazoa; Chordata; Mammalia; Artiodactyla; Physeteridae
Exons: 4
Source: RefSeq, a predicted model, not a curated record
CGAGGCCUUCUGGUGGAGAAAGAGGCAGUCUGGAUCACCGAAGGACUCCUGUGACGACACCUUAGGAAAGGGUUUGUGGAGAGUAGCAGUUGGAAGUUACAAAGGAAGAAGAGUUUGGCUGAAGUGCAGAGCAGCAAAGCGGAGAAUUAGCGAAUGUAGGUCUCCAAACCCCACGUUUUAUAGGGUUCAUAGUCUACGGGAAUGACUGUCAUUAACGCUCAGUCGUGACCUUAAAGCCUUAGAUUCACGCCCCGCCCCCCCCCCGCACACCCACCUCCCCUCCGCUGUUGACCGCAGGUGUCCUCACUUAGAGCCCUGGCAGGCAGUGUUGAUCCCCAGCCCUGGCUCUCCCGUCUGUGGCCAAGGCCACGCAGAGCCCCACCGGCUGCAGGGCCUAGUGCUGCCUGCUGUCAGGGUCGCUCAGGCGUCCAGCACAGGUACCGCAGGGCAGGUCAUCCCCAGCGUCUUCCCCUCCCACAGCCGUGCGGUGGCGACCACAGAGGCACCAGGGUGCUGGAGAACAAAGCAAGUAUCGAAGCACCGGCUCCUUGCAGAGCCAGGCGCGCUCUCACCUCCACCCAAGUUUAAAAGGUGGCAGUGGGUGAUCAGAAGACCAAUCAUUUUCCUGAACACCAUGAACAGUGCUCAUCUAAAUGACAGUAGUCUCCAGAAUUCUCAGUGAAGCCACAAACCCUAAGCACCAGGAUGCCAGAUGUCCCGAUUCUUUCUGCUAGUUCUGCACAAGGCCUGCCACUGUGUCAUACCAACACCCCUCAGGUUUCAGGAUCUUAGUUACCUGACGAGGGACUGAACCCAUGUCCCCUGCAAUGGAAGCGCAGAGUCCUAACUACUGGACCACCAGGGAAGUCCCUGCAUUAAUAUAAACUUAAAGAAACAUUAAUGUGAUAUAACAACAAAGCUAUCUGAAGAUGAUUAAAAUGUGAAAGUGAAUUAUUGUACUAAUUACAGUUAUGUCAUAUUACCUUCAGCAUUCAUUAAGUUAACUUCAAGUGUUUACAGACAACCUGAAGCUCACGGCCCAUCUGAAAACUACUUUCCUGGUUGGCUUUAGCCUCAAAGGAAUCCUAAGAGAACCAAGCAGAUACAUAGGGCUGGGUAGGCCCACAGUGCCAUUCUAGCUGAAGUAGAUGCCGCAGACAACUACUCCAACGCCACAAACUACAAGAAAUCAGGAAACAAAUGAUAUGUAACUGUGAAAAAUCAUUGCCAAGAUUCAAAAUCUAGCAGAAGAAAUAAAUGACGGUCAGAUUUCCAUGGCCAGAAAAUGUUAUCUUAUUUAAGCACAUAUACAUUUACAUUCCAUCUCGACUCUUCAGUCUCAAUCCAAUUCUUUGCAUUAAAUAGUACAGAGUAAGUCAGAGAAGAGUCCUUGAUUAAUUGAGAAAAUUACCCAAAGCAUAUUUGGGAUGCAAACUCAUAUGAGUAAUGAUCUUGAAACAACUU